AUGAACGUAGUCCUUGAGGCCGAUUACACCAGGGAGGAGGUGAAAGCUGCACUUGAUCACAUAGGCGAUCUCAAAGCACCCGGUCCAGAUGGGAUGCCGGCGAUUGUUUUUAAGCGUCAUUGGCAUUUUAUGGGAGAUCAAGUUGUGGAGGAAGUCCUAAAGGUACUGAAUGGUGGAGAGAUCCCCGAGGGGUGGAGUGAUACUAUGGUUGUGCUUAUCCCCAAGGUCAAAAACCCAAAAAGAAUCAAGGACCUCCACCCCAUCAGUUUGUGCAAUGUCGUAUACAAGCUAGUAUCAAAGGUGAUUGCCAAUAGACUUAAAUUGAUCCUGCCCGAGGUGAUCUCAUAG
RNAcentral lists this ribosomal RNA (348 nucleotides) under Triticum aestivum (bread wheat). RNAcentral's name for it is "partial small subunit ribosomal RNA". The record is from RNAcentral. Lineage: Eukaryota; Viridiplantae; Streptophyta; Magnoliopsida; Poales; Poaceae.